This 160-nucleotide unclassified non-coding RNA is filed under the name uncultured fungus. RNAcentral's name for it is "sequence contains ITS1". The stretch from base 1 to 107 matches the Rfam family "5.8S ribosomal RNA", at positions 50 to 154 of the family's 154-position model. Rfam says of the family: 5.8S ribosomal RNA (5.8S rRNA) is a component of the large subunit of the eukaryotic ribosome. The record is from RNAcentral. Lineage: Eukaryota; Fungi.
GAAAUGCGAUACUUGGUGUGAAUUGCAGAAUCCCGUGAACCAUCGAGUCUUUGAACGCAAGUUGCGCCCGAAGCCAUUAGGCCGAGGGCACGCCUGCCUGGGUGUCACACAUCGUUUCCCCAACGCGUUGUCUUCUGAUGACGCUUCGACCGCGACCCCA